UCCCUGGAGGUUAGUGGUUAGACCUCGGCCACUGCCACGGCCCAGGUUCGAUUCCAGGCCAGGGAA
Molecule: transfer RNA, 66 nt
Filed under: Pangasius djambal
Lineage: Eukaryota; Metazoa; Chordata; Actinopteri; Siluriformes; Pangasiidae
Description: tRNA-OTHER
Source: RNAcentral